AGUACCUUAUUGAAUUCUGAUCGUUUAAUUGGCUGUUUAUAUAGUCACGUGAUAUUGAAUAAAAAAUUCCAUUUCCCAAGAGUGCAAUAUAUGGAAUCGGUUCCAUUGCACUCUUUGCGAGUGCAAUUGUACUAUAUGUUUUAUUCCAUUGCACUCUUUGUGUUUUCGAUAAAUCGCAUCCGUCAAAAUGCUUCUCAUACGAAUCUAUUAGUCUAUUUUGGUAUUAUAUAAAACGAAUAAUGAAUGAUUAUUCAUGCAAUGGUAAGAAUAUUU
This is a non-coding RNA of Paramuricea clavata, 273 nucleotides long. The record is from the annotation of a GenBank genome assembly. NCBI's taxonomy places the organism in Eukaryota, Metazoa, Cnidaria, Anthozoa, Malacalcyonacea, Plexauridae.